RNAcentral lists this long non-coding RNA (2265 nucleotides) under Pelobates cultripes (western spadefoot toad). Lineage: Eukaryota; Metazoa; Chordata; Amphibia; Anura; Pelobatidae. The record is from RNAcentral.
AAAAAAAAAAUUUUGUUUCUGUAAUUUCUUAUUUUUGUUUCUCAAGGCAAGCAUAAAACCAGAUUUAUAGUAAGACAGAAGGUCUUUGCAAUUAUUCCCCAGACAGGCUCUAAAAUUAAAAUAUUUACCAUAUUUAAGUAAAGUAUACCCUUAAUUCAUUCUCCCCUGUUAUAAAACCUCUCCAUUGCCAAAAUACAUCAGAAAUGACAAGACUCUAAAACAUUUAAUAGAAGAAAAAAAAAAAAGUUGUACUGCUGCUAUCCUAUGGAAAAGCAAUUUUGUAAGGUAGUAAAAACUUUAUUUUUUCUAUACAGAGAGUAGCAAUAAGGGACAUCUCAAGUUGAACUAAAAUGAUGGGCAUCAAAUAAGUGCUCGCAAAACGUAUGGAGAUACAACCAAGUGGCUGCUUGCGUAUUUGUUUCACCAAGACUGAAGCAGCUAAUGGGGAAAUAGGUUUUGUUAGUAUGUGCAUUGUACUUGACUCAAGGAGGUUUAUCUGCUAACAAGUAAGCCAACAGAACUGUUUCCUCAUCUAGUGAUAGAUACUUUAGAAGUUGACUUGCCUUUUGACUUUCCUUUAAACAAGUUGCACAGAUGAUACAUAUUCCUGAAAGGCUCUGUACACUGUAAAAGAAAUAAAAGGGCUCUUUUCACAUCCAGUAUAUUAAUUUGUUUUAUAUAUGAGAGAAGAGAGAUUACUACAGAAAGUAGAGAAAACUAUUUCCUGAUUCAGAUUAGAUGAAUCAAGAACCUUUGGCCUGGAGUAAGGAAGGAGUGUCAGCCCUAGUUUAUCUUGGUGGAGAAUCAAGUAUGGAGAGUGAUCUCCUAACGCCUGAAGUUCUCCUACCCUCUUAGCAGGGGUAAUGGCCAGUGGAAAUUUAAUUUUCCAAAAUAAUUCAGAUGACAACUCCCAGGGAGGAAUAGAAAUAAUCUCUGAUAAAGUGUACCACUAAUGGAUUUAAAAACCAGAUUCAUCAGUUGGAAAAUGACAAGUAAAAAGAUUAAAGGAGAGCCUUGGCAAAACCCAUGUGAAUAAAAUGAAUAGUGAAUUUAAUAGAUGCUUGUAGAAGAUUUUGAUGAUGAUGAUAAAGGUGCCAAGAGACCUAUUUCUUCCAAAUCUUUAGAUUCUGCCUGUAGAUAUUUUUAUUGAAUGUAGAAGAAUAUCAAGAAUGUGUUGGUUUAGACCUGCUGAAAAUAAGGGAUACCUCUAAGUAGCAAAGCUGCUGGGUUGAAUUUGUGGAUGAAUUUCCUGUUCUAUCAUCUCCUCUGAUUGAGGGAAUAUCCAAUAUCACCCUUUUUAUAAAUCCAGGUCUGUGAAUCAAGAGCACCUUGACCAAAAUGGAAAACUGCUUAUUGAGGCUUGCUCUCUUCUUAUUUUCUUCAAAAUUUUGUUGAUCAUAUAGAUUUGAGGAAAAAAAACAGCUGUGUAAUUUUUCAGGAAGCCAUAAGGUCUAUUUCUUGAUAUCGAAAUCUUUCUGGGAGUUUUUGAAAGAGACUAAUUUGAUGAGGUUAUUCCUGUUUUGCUCAGAUGAUUGGCAAAUGUAUUAUCUGUGCCCCUUAUGUGGACUGCAUGAAUCCCCAAAAGAUGACAUUCUGACCAUUUUCAUUAUCUUUCCUGAGAUUAGAACUAGACAAAUAGAUCUUAUGCCUUCUUGACGAUUUAUGUAGGAUAUUCUUGUCCUGUUGUCUUAUUCUACCUGAACCCAAACAUCUUGCGUAGGGUUUAAAAAUUGGAUAGCUUUUAGAACAACCUUUAAAUCUCUAAAGUUUGAUGUCAGGUAUAGCAUGGCAUGUAUUUCGUCGCCGGAACCCACUUCCGGGUUCACGGCGCUCAGCCCCGCCCCUUUUUUCUGACGCGGUCCCUCCACGAUACUUAGGAAGACCGCGCCAGAUUCAAAGGGCUGGAUUAUUCGCACAGGUGCUGCAGAAAGAUCAGCUGCUCUACUUUUGAUCCUACCUGCUCCAUUUCUAGACCUCGGCUAGUAAAACGGAUUUCUACCUUCUCCACUUCUCGACCUCGGCUUGUAAACGGAUUUCUACCUUCUCCACUCCUAGACCUCGGCUUGUAACACUGAAUUCUACCUUCUCCACUCCCAGACCUCGGCUUGUUGAAACGGACUUCUAAUUUCUCCUUCAUUGGGUGAAGUAACCCUUCCAGUGCCAGAACUGCCUUUUAGUUAAGUAAUACUUUUACCAAACAAGCCAAUUUCUAUUAUUUAUGUUACACAGUAUCUAAAGCUCACUAAAGUGUCACUUUGUCUAAUU